Molecule: long non-coding RNA, 556 nt
Filed under: Equus caballus (horse)
Lineage: Eukaryota; Metazoa; Chordata; Mammalia; Perissodactyla; Equidae
Description: lncRNA (ENSECAG00000040531.3)
Source: RNAcentral
AGGGAACAGCAGAGGAGAUGUGAUUGAACGAGGAGUACUGAAGAGCACCAAGCAUGAGAGGACAGAUCUUUCUGAAUGGAAUGUGUCCUGGCUGACAUCUCUCAGGACACUCUACCAUAAAUAUAAACAGAAGACUGGAGAGGAAGAAAGGGAAGAGGAGGAUGAGGAUCCACAAAAUCAUGCAUGACUAAUUCUGAGGUCUAGUCAGGAGUACUGAAACUUUUCUUCAUGGAAGGAUAAAGGAAGCCCAACCCACCAGAGGAGAAACAGAAGACGGAAGUGGACUUUAAUAUCAAGUUCCCCCUCCCCCACCGCAUGCCUCCUCAGGCCAUUGAUAAACCCUGAGCUAGGAGGAGAGGGGAGUGUGAUUGGAGUUUUAUAUUGGACUGGGCCAGACUUAAUAACUGGAAUUUAUUUGAAAGCUCUGACAUCUGACCAAGAUUUGACUAAAGUCUAAGAAAAUCAGAUUCAACAGAAUGCGGUCAAAGGCACUGGUUGAAAAGAAACAAGACACUUGCAUGUUUAUAUCCCACUAGGAUAAACUUUCAACAAACCA